This 250-nucleotide unclassified non-coding RNA is filed under the name Hevea brasiliensis (rubber tree). The record is from RNAcentral. Lineage: Eukaryota; Viridiplantae; Streptophyta; Magnoliopsida; Malpighiales; Euphorbiaceae.
GCUGGAGCUAGGAAUCCCCAAAAAUACGGCUAAUAAAUGGAUUCUCCCUUACGAUAGAGAGAGUGAAUUUCAUAUAAUUACAAGAGAUGAUGUAUAAUUUUAUAAUUUCUCUAAACAUAGACGUUAUUAGUGAAGUAAACCGAUAUGAUUGUUUGGAAUGCAAUGUAAAUCAAUUUAUUUUCUCAUGUUCUAUUAGUAUUUGAAUUUUUUUUUUUUUAAAGCAAAAUUUUGAAGCAAGCUGAUACUCUCA